GAGGGCAUAGCUCAGUGGUAGAGUGCAUGUUUGACAUGCAUGAGGUCUUGGGUUCAAUCCCCAGGACCUCC
RNAcentral lists this transfer RNA (71 nucleotides) under Camelus bactrianus (Bactrian camel). It matches the Rfam family "tRNA". From Rfam's summary of the family: Transfer RNA (tRNA) molecules are approximately 80 nucleotides in length. Their secondary structure includes four short double-helical elements and three loops (D, anti-codon, and T loops). RNAcentral also lists the same sequence under 2 other names. Lineage: Eukaryota; Metazoa; Chordata; Mammalia; Artiodactyla; Camelidae. The record is from Rfam by way of RNAcentral.